GGGCUUCAAAACCGGACCGAUCCCCUCUAUAUCUUGGGAGCCGGUCGCGAGGCCGGCUAUGGCGAUAAACGUUCUUCGCAAUAAACCUAUCGGACCCGGGGGCGGUACCCGGCGCCUCCACCCGAACCCAGGACAUGCUGCCGCAAGGCGCGUGACCGCGAGCCUGGGUUCCGGCGGGGGCGAAAUAGGAUCGGCGAGGGCGUAAAGGUUGGACUUUCGCUCGGCAUGGUUCCGCCGUUAUCGGGCCUUUGCAAUAGUUGCCAACGACAACUUUGCUCCGGUGGCGGUGGCCGCGUAAGCGGUCCCCAAUACCGACCUAAAGACCUAGCGGGUAGCACCGCAUAGGCGGGGUUCGGAGGCACCUGGCAACAGAAGCCUCCACU
This 383-nucleotide transfer-messenger RNA is filed under the name Methylobacterium tardum. It matches the Rfam family "Alphaproteobacteria transfer-messenger RNA". From Rfam's summary of the family: Bacterial tmRNA, also known as 10Sa RNA or SsrA, is named for its dual tRNA and mRNA-like properties. Its role is to liberate the mRNA from a stalled ribosome. To accomplish this part of the tmRNA is used as a reading frame that ends in a translation stop signal. Lineage: Bacteria; Pseudomonadati; Pseudomonadota; Alphaproteobacteria; Hyphomicrobiales; Methylobacteriaceae. The record is from RNAcentral.